AUCGGUUCUUAUUCAUUGGGUUCUCGUGAACCAUAAUAUGGAUGUCUAUAUAAGCUGUGAGCAAAAGGACAUGACACCAAGCAUGAGAAUACCAAUACUAGUUCAAUAAUUUGGCAAGAACAAUUAGAAUACUAAUAGCCACUUGCCUAAAAAAAAUAAAAACUAGAAAUAUAUUUUUAUUUUUAAAUUUUUGACAACAGAUCAAACUCCGGUAAAUGUAUCUAAAUGAAGAAUACCCCAACUGAGUUAGGUAUUAUGAGGAUGGAUAUGCAACCUUCCAAAAC
RNAcentral lists this long non-coding RNA (284 nucleotides) under Elaeis guineensis (African oil palm). RNAcentral's name for it is "long non-coding RNA (EGUI_LNC023564)". The record is from RNAcentral. Lineage: Eukaryota; Viridiplantae; Streptophyta; Magnoliopsida; Arecales; Arecaceae.